AGCGUACGAAGAGGAAAGCAUGCCCGAGCUGCCUUCUCCCACGGAUGAUGCGCAGGGUGACAUGACUUUCGAACAAGAGCCGUUUUUGAAGGGGAAAGAAAGAUCUGCCAUAUCGGGAGACGAGGAAUACGGGAGCAUCAACGAGAAAACGUCGGGGGGUACCCCGGAGAAGGGCA
RNAcentral lists this non-coding RNA (176 nucleotides) under Lotharella globosa. Lineage: Eukaryota; Cercozoa; Chlorarachniophyceae. The record is from RNAcentral.